UAAAAAAACAAUAAACAAUUUCCCUAAAUUGUCCGAUAUCGUUUAAUCGAAUACUCGUCUAUCUAACCAUUUCCCUGAAAUCGAUUGGUGUGGGAAAAAUUGAAAUCAACAGCAAAUCGAAAGUGAAGAUUGAAGAUGCUUGAUAUCAUCGAUAUCAUUGAAUCAUAUUCGUUUCUCUAAGCCUUUCCUUGAAAUCGGUGUGGGAAACAUCAAAAUCAACAAGAAAUCGACAAUGAAGAUUGAAGAUGUAUGAUAUCAUCGAACGUAUGUGAUGCUUGGAGGUAAAGAAAAAAAAAACUCUAAUCAUUCAAUUAGAAAUGGAGAAAAAGGGAAUCGUUUCAAAUUCGGUCAUCUAAACCACAAUCAUUGAUGCAGACACAAAUCAAACCACAUUGAAGAAGCUGUAGGUCUAUUUGCAGAAAUGAAGUCCAAAGGUAUCACUUGAGAAGAAGCUCUACAUCUCUGUGCAACUGCCAUUGGAGGCGACCUAACUUUUUCCGAUAUUACCCUUUUGGAAGCAACAGGUCUUCUCUGAACUGAUAAGACCUUAGCUUUAGGGGAAGCUUUAAAUGUCACAGGUGACAAUUUAGCUUCUGAUACUGACAAAGACGCCAUGUCAUUAUCAGGUGUCUUUAUUGGUGACGUGGCAGUUUCAGGUAUUGCACAUGUGACCACAUUGACAGGUGGCUGUUCUACAGUGUCACCAUUUACAUACAUGUUAUCUGUAUUAGGUUUUUGAGAUUCUUUUUUCUCAAAUUUCUCAACAAGAUUGCGAGUCUUUCCAUUUGAAACUGCAACACAUUUAACAGGUGUCAACCUUUUGUUGGAGGAAUCAAUGGAUACCUCAUGGUUAGAUGAAGAUUUUUGACACUCUUCUGAAACACUAGUGGAAUUAUGUGUUUUCUCCUCUGAAGAAUCAGAAUCAAUCGCCACAUCAUCAGUAAAAAGCCUUCUCUGGAUGUUUGUAUUUGAUCCAUCUUUUCUAGAAACAACAGGAGUCAUGCCUGCAGCUUUACUUCAAACAGUGAGUAUUACAGUAAAGAUAAAAUAGGUAAAAGAUUAAAAUAAUUGAGAUAAAAACUUACUGUCUACAUAUAUAUUCUUGAUAUCUUUUGUGUCAUCAUCUGAAGGUAUAAAUGACAUUCUUGGAGUCUUGACUCUCUCUAUAACACUUUCCUGGAGAUCAGUUUUUGGCUCCACAUGAGCUUUUUCCAUGGCUAUCAUGUUAUGUGCAUAUGGUUCAAUAUGCUUCACAAACAGAAAGGUCAUAAAAGAAGGAUUGUGGACCCACAUUGAUACAUAGAAGUUUCUAUAUGUAUACCUCAGGCCGAGUUGUUCCAAUCAAUUCAAAGGUUUCCAAAUCCCAAAAUUUCACAGUUCUAUCUGAUGAACCUGGAAUUAAGUUUAACACACACAUCAUCAACAAAAACAUUUUUAAAAAACAUGGAGAGAAAAUACUCAAAAUAGAAGCCAUUGUUGGAUGGAUACAAACCUGUUGCUAGAAGAAACUCGAUAGGGUGGAAAUCCAUUGAUUUAAUGUGUCCUUCAUGUAACUUGAACUCAUGCAAGAGUUUUCCAGCAGUUAAGUCCCAUAUCUUUACAACAUUAUCAAGUCCUCCAGACACCACCCAUCUUCCAUCAGGGGUAAAUCUGAUAGUACUAAUUGCUCGUUUAUGACCCUUAUAUGUAUGAAUGCAUCCUUUCUUUCGAAUAUCCCAUAUCUUCAAAUUCGUAUCCAUGGAUCCUGAUGCAAGAAA
Non-coding RNA from Lactuca sativa (garden lettuce), 1757 nucleotides. The record is from RefSeq and is a predicted model, not a curated record. NCBI's taxonomy places the organism in Eukaryota, Viridiplantae, Streptophyta, Magnoliopsida, Asterales, Asteraceae.